UUAUCCUACGGGGGGCAGCAGUGGGGGAUAUUGCACAAUGGGGGAAACCCUGAUGCAGCGACGCCGCGUGAGCGAUGAAGUAUUUCGGUAUGUAAAGCUCUGUCUUCAGGGACGAUAAUGACGGUACCUGAGGAGGAAGCCACGGCUAACUACGUGCCAGCAGCCGCGGUAAUACGUAGGUGGCGAGCGUUGUCCGGAUUUACUGGGCGUAAAGGGAGCGUAGGCGGACUUUUAAGUGAGAUGUGAAAUACUCGGGCUCAACUUGAGUGCUGCAUUUCAAACUGGAAGUCUAGAGUGCAGGAGAG
RNAcentral lists this ribosomal RNA (305 nucleotides) under uncultured bacterium. RNAcentral describes it as "bacterial SSU rRNA". It matches the Rfam family "Bacterial small subunit ribosomal RNA", at positions 334 to 656 of the family's 1533-position model. The record is from RNAcentral.